This 343-nucleotide unclassified non-coding RNA is filed under the name Hevea brasiliensis (rubber tree). Lineage: Eukaryota; Viridiplantae; Streptophyta; Magnoliopsida; Malpighiales; Euphorbiaceae. The record is from RNAcentral.
GGUGCGAUUCCGGAGAUAGUUGAAGUGCUGAAAAACGGGAGUACGGAGGCAAGGGAGAAUGCUGCAGCUACCCUCUUUAGCUUAUCGGUUGUUGACGGAAACAAAGUUAAAAUUGGGGCGGCUGGUGCGAUUCCUGCGCUUAUAGAUCUCCUAUUAGAAGGAAGCCCGAGAGGCAAGAAAGACGCCGCAACUGCCAUUUUCAACCUUUCCAUCUAUCAAGGAAACAAAGUGAAAGCCGUGAAAGCUGGGAUUGUGGUGCACUUGAUGAGGAUGUUGGUGGAUCCGAGUGGUGGUAUGGUGGAUGAAGCACUAGCGAUAUUGGCGAUUCUUGCUAGUCAUCAGG